UACGUAGGCAGCGAGCGUUGUUCGGAGUUACUGGGCGUAAAGGGUGUGUAGGCGGUUUUUUAAGUUUGGUGUGAAAUCUCCCGGCUUAACUGGGCGGGUGCAUUAGAAACUGGAAUGCUAGAGGAUGGGAGAGGUAAGCGGAAUUCCUGGUGUAGCGGUGAAAUGCGUAGAUAUCAGGAGGAACACCUGUGGUGUAGACAGCUUACUGGACCAUUUCUGACGCUGAGACACGAAAGCGUGGGUAGCAAACAGG
This 253-nucleotide ribosomal RNA is filed under the name uncultured bacterium. RNAcentral describes it as "partial 16S ribosomal RNA". It matches the Rfam family "Bacterial small subunit ribosomal RNA", at positions 524 to 776 of the family's 1533-position model. The record is from RNAcentral.